AUUCGGACUUGUAUCUCUGUAACUCGAGGUUUCUCUAACUCUGGAACCAUUGUCGAGAGGAAGGAGAUGAGACGCCAAGGGAUGGAGAGGGUGAGAGCAUAAAAGAAGAAUCAAUAGGUGGCAUUUAUUUGUACACAAUGAGGGAAUAUUUGAAAGGCAAAAGGUGUAGGGCAUGGAAGGAAUCUCUUUUUCCCUUCUGAAAGAGAACGGAGGAUGUUUGAUAUGAUGUUGCUGUUUUGAUUAAACUUCAAGGAGUAGGUGGUGGGUUCAAGAAAAGGGUCGGUUUUCUUUCAAGAACCUUUUGGAUUGAAAAUGGUGAGCCAAAGAGAAUUUGCUUUAGGAUGGAUGUCCAUCUCUGCAAUUGGGGAGGUGUGUGUG
Molecule: unclassified non-coding RNA, 378 nt
Filed under: Hevea brasiliensis (rubber tree)
Lineage: Eukaryota; Viridiplantae; Streptophyta; Magnoliopsida; Malpighiales; Euphorbiaceae
Source: RNAcentral